This is a long non-coding RNA of Saccostrea cuccullata (small rock oyster), 488 nucleotides long. RefSeq lists it as uncharacterized. Lineage: Eukaryota; Metazoa; Mollusca; Bivalvia; Ostreida; Ostreidae. The transcript has 3 exons. The record is from RefSeq and is a predicted model, not a curated record.
UCAAUAUGGAAGUAGUGAAAAAUUGUAGACCGAAACGCUUGGAGUUUAUCUUCAUCAUGUGACUGUCUGUUGUCACUGUCAGGAUAUUGGUCUAGAGAAAGCUGUCGAAGUUAAAAAGCAGAAUUUCUCUGUGGAUUUCGAAGAUUAUAUAAAUUGAAGAUGACAGAAAACAUGAGCUCAUCAAAGACAUUAUUGAAAAACCAUAUUCGCCAUGCAACAAGUCAUAAUAAGAUAGUUGAAGAAUCUCUAAUGUGGAGGCAGUAUGAGAUGAUGAAUGCUGAAAAAUGUCAAGAAACUUCAAGGAAGUCAAAAUACUCAAAGGACGAACCCCAUAAACAAGAGAGACAAAAAAGUUCUAGAGACAGAUUUUCUACACCAAGUGAAAGAAGUUCAUCAUUAGAUCAAUCCAAGCCCUCAUUUUACUGGACAAAAGAGUUACAGAGAGCAAAGGAAGCCAUUCCAGACAGGUAUAUACUGUAAAUAAGGAU